GGCAUGGGGAAUGCGAUCUCCCCCAAGAGGCGACAUGCCCGAAACAUCGCGUCCCGGGCUGACCACGCGGACGCAUCAUG
Molecule: non-coding RNA, 80 nt
Filed under: unclassified sequences
Description: chrB RNA
Rfam family: chrB-a RNA
Source: RNAcentral